This 61-nucleotide transfer RNA is filed under the name Argas miniatus. RNAcentral's name for it is "tRNA-Pro". The record is from RNAcentral. Lineage: Eukaryota; Metazoa; Arthropoda; Arachnida; Ixodida; Argasidae.
CAGAAAAUAGUAUAUUAAUAUAUAAAUUUUGGGGAUUUAAGUUGAUGUAAGUCUUUUCUGA